RNAcentral lists this ribosomal RNA (301 nucleotides) under uncultured bacterium. RNAcentral's name for it is "partial 16S ribosomal RNA". It matches the Rfam family "Bacterial small subunit ribosomal RNA", at positions 509 to 809 of the family's 1533-position model. The record is from RNAcentral.
CAGCAGCCGCGGGAAUACGAAGGGUGCAAGCGUUAAUCGGAAUUACUGGGCGUAAAGCGUGCGUAGGCGGUGAGUUAAGUCUGCUGUGAAAUCCCCGGGCUCAACCUGGGAAUGGCAGUGGAUACUGGCUCGCUAGAGUGUGUCAGAGGAUGGUGGAAUUCCCGGUGUAGCGGUGAAAUGCGUAGAGAUCGGGAGGAACAUCAGUGGCGAAGGCGGCCAUCUGGGACAACACUGACGCUGAGGCACGAAAGCGUGGGGAGCAAACAGGAUUAGAUACCCCUGUAGUCCCUGUCUCUUAUAA